Molecule: non-coding RNA, 1247 nt
Organism: Peromyscus maniculatus bairdii (prairie deer mouse)
Lineage: Eukaryota; Metazoa; Chordata; Mammalia; Rodentia; Cricetidae
Source: RefSeq, a predicted model, not a curated record
UGGGUGCGAUUCCGGCAGCGAGGGUGCGGGCCGCGAGGAGUCCUUGAUGAUGAGCGAGUCCACAUAGAAGGAGCGCGACAUGUCUACGGGGGAUGGAUGGCUUGUCCUGCGGGGCCGCGGCUUCUCCUUGCCUUUCGAGAUAAAAUCUUAGCCGUACACACUCUGUCCUACACUCUCCCUUGUUUGAUCCUCUGUCCAACUCUUCAUGGCGAUGCGAUGCGGAGCGCACCAGGUGGGGACUUCCAGGCCAUUUAAACUGAGGUACUCAAAUGCUUCCAAACUCCUCGGUGUCAACCUUGGCUGCACAGUAGAGCCUGAAACUUCUUCUGCCUUGGAGCAGGCUUUUGGACUUGGCCAAGGUCAUUCGCACGGACAAAUCCAGUAACUGGACGAAUGGGUAACUGCCCGGCUAAGAAACCAAGCGCUCCAGGCCGGUGCUACAUCAGUUCCCAAAUGCCUUUGUGUUUGGGCUUCUCUUGAGGCCACUCAGACCAACGACCCUUCUUGAGCAUCUUUCUAGUCAGCAGUUCAGCCUUCCGCGGAGGGGCGGGGGGGGUGGGUGAGGAGUCGCCCUUUUCUUAUUCCAAGCUGUUACAUAGUUUUACAAGCUCAACCUUACAAACGCCACUGCGAAAUAUUUGGAGAUGACCAAAAACAGCCUUCCUAUACACUGGCGUAGGAGCUGAGGAGGCCUCUGGUGUAAGUCGAGUGAUCUCUUGCUAAUACCCCCAACCCCGCACCCUCAAUACCGAUGCUCUUUACAUCCUCAAAUCCUAAAGCUCAAGAAGGGCGUAGAGCUAAUGGAGGAAUCCUGCCUGUACCUGUGAGGAGUGGCCUGGUACCAGAACUCCCUUCCGGGGCUCAGGAAGACUUGUGAGCCUUGUGAGAGAGGGUGGCCGCCACCACUGGGGCUCUUGGUUUGGGGGGAAGUCAAGGCAGCAAAGAUGACAGCGGGUUUCUUUCAGGUCCUUUUGCUAAAAUGGCUAACUUCAAGUGUAAGUUCACAACAGCGACAAGGAACUUGAAGACUGGAUUCCCUCAACCUGAGAAGUGCCCAAGGACAGGAGACCCCAGCUGGAGGCAUGGUUCUCUCUGUGCCCUCUGGCUUUCUCUUUCUCUUUCUCUCCCCCUACCCAUCUCUGUGACCACCUCUCUCUUGUCUGAUGGAGGAGUAUAAUUGGGUUGUAGGGAUGCCCCGCUCUAGGGAGCCCAGGAUUUAUGGAUGGCAAUUAAAGUUUUAUGAAUUG